AAACCGCGGGUAAUACCGCAUGAGCUUGGUAGCUGGUGAGGUUAUCAAGCAAAGGAGGAAUCCACGCUUGGCGGGGCCUGCGGCCUAUCAGCUCGAUGGCGGGGUAACGGCCCACCAUGGCGAUGACGGGUAGCUGGUCUGAGAGGACGAUCAGCCACACGGGGACUGAGACACGGCCCCGACUCCUACGGGAGGCAGCAGCAAGGAAUUUUCCGCAAUGGGCGCAAGCCUGACGGAGCGACGCCGCGUGGGGGAAGACGCUUUUCGGAGUGUAAACCCCUUUUCUGGGGGAUGAAGACAGUGACAGUACCCCAGGAAGAAGGACCGGCUAACUACGUGCCAGCAGCCGCGGUAAGACGUAGGGUCCGAGCGUUGUCCGGAGUUACUGGGCGUAAAGGGCGCGUGGGCGGCUUCUUGCGUCACACGUGAAAGCCCCCGGCUCAACCGGGGAGGGUCGUGUGAAACGGGGGAGCUGGAGGCAGCGAGAGGCUGGUGGAAUUCCCGGAGUAGUGGUGAAAUGCGUAGAGAUCGGGAGGAACACCGGUGGCGAAGGCGGCCAGCUGGCGCUGACCUGACGCUGAGGCGCGAAGGCGUGGGGAGCGAACGGGAUUAGAUACCCCGGUAGUCCACGCAGUAAACGAUGUGGACUAGGUGUGGGGGGGGAGUUGACCCCCUCCGUGCCGGCGCGAACGCAGUAAGUCCACCGCCUGGGGAGUACGGCCGCAAGGCUAAAACUCAAAGGAAUUGACGGGGGCCCGCACAAGCAGCGGAGCGUGUGGUUUAAUUCGACGCAACGCGCA
Molecule: ribosomal RNA, 800 nt
Filed under: uncultured bacterium
Lineage: Bacteria
Description: bacterial SSU rRNA
Rfam family: Bacterial small subunit ribosomal RNA
Source: RNAcentral